This 4479-nucleotide ribosomal RNA is filed under the name Triticum aestivum (bread wheat). RNAcentral describes it as "partial small subunit ribosomal RNA". The record is from RNAcentral. Lineage: Eukaryota; Viridiplantae; Streptophyta; Magnoliopsida; Poales; Poaceae.
AUGGCGGAGUUUGCCCUUGGGCUAACCAAGACGGCGGUGGAGGGGGCAGUCAGCAGAGUCAAGUCGGCAAUCGAGGAGGAGGCGAAGCUCAAGGUGCGCGUCCAGAAUGACCUGGUGUUCAUCACCGGUGAAUUCCAGAUGAUGCGGUCCUUCCUUAACGCCGCCAACUCGGAGCGCAACAAGAAUGAAGUCGUGAGGACAUGGGUGAGGCAGGUCCGCGACCUUGCCUUCGACGUGGAGGACUGUGUUGAGCUCGUGGUCAGCCUCGAUAACAAGUCCACCUGGUGGUGGCGCCUUGUGCCGUCCUGCAUCUGGACGGCUCCGCCGUUGCCAUUGGAUGUGGCAGUCACCGAAAUACAACAACUCAAGACCAGGGUGGAGGAUGUAAGCCAGAGGAACACCCGCUACAACCUCAUCAACCACUCCGACUCCAGCUCCAAUUCUGCAGCUACUAUUGUCUCCUCUCCAACGGAGGCGCUUAUGCCAGACAGUGCCUACCUCGGUGUAUCAUCAGCGUUCCACAUCCUAUGUGAUGUGUGGGAGGCCGCUGGGAAGAAGCGAGGUGGCACCGGUGAGCUCAAGGAGAUUAUCAACCGUGAAGGUAGCGAUCUUCAAGUCAUUUCACUAUGGGGAAGUACACCAUCUGCUCACUUGGGGGCAACUCACGUUAUCAAGGAGGCGUACAAUGACCCACAAAUCCAGCAAGAGUUCAAUGUCCGUGCGUGGGCAAAGAUCAAGUGUCCUUUUGACCCCGAAGAUUUCCUCAAGAGCCUGCUCACUCAGUUCUACGCCACCUCCUCCCACCAACCAAACCACAACAUCAACAAGUCAACAACACCACAAGAGCUCGAAUGGUGUGCAGAGAUGGUGGCACAAGCACGGAGCGACAAUCGGAGCUGGAUCGCACGGGCUACCAACCUAGUCCGCUCUAUGGCAUCCUCCACUUCUGACAUCAAAGCCAAGUUUACAGAUCGUAGGUAUCUCGUCAUCCUGGAAGAUGUACGCACUGUAGCAGAGUGGGAUGUCAUCAAGAUGUAUCUACCAUACACUAACAAGGGCAGCCGGAUUCUCGUGUUGACGGAACACCUGGGGCUUGCGCUUUCCUGCACAAGGAAGCCGUACCAAGUAUCAGAGCUUAGACAAUUCUCUCAUGGUCAAUCACUUUGUGCUUUUUUCAAUAAGGUUCCUGGGCGUCGUGGUGAUAUGAGUGAAAUUAGUUGGCAGUUAAGAUGUGGUGGUGUUAUCUGUGUGUGGGGAACUCGACAUAAAAAAUCAACUCUUGUUGAUGACGUGUACUCCAGCAUAACAAAUAAGUCGAAAGGCUUUGAUGUUGAUGGAGUAGAAUUUAAAAUACAAAGCUGGGUCGAUGUACCCAAACCGUUCAAUUUGGAGUGCUUCUCCAGACGCCUUCUUUUGAGUUUCUACUCUGAUGACUUUGGAGCCAAGGAAAUUUCGGUAGUGGAUAGGAUGGGAGACCAAGGUGUAACUCAACAGUGUCGCAGGUUUCUGCAUGAAGACAAAUGUCUUACCAUUAUUAAUGGUCUGGAGUCGGCGGGUGACUGGGACCAAAUAAAAUCUAUAGUUUUACCCCAGAAUAUUAGAGGAUGUAUCCUUGUCGUUGCAAAAGAUGAGUCUAUUGCCAGAUAUUGUGCUGACAAGCAAGAUCGUGCAAUCAACAUUAAAGAUUUGGAAGCCGACAUGAUUCUUUGUCACUCGGUAAAGAGUUGUCAACACUAUGCAAUUGGAGGCAAAGAGGCUUCUUACAGGGGUCAACUUUUCUCCAACAGAACAGAAGAGGCUGGCAUAUGGAUGAAUAAAUUUGGCCAUGUUGUGCGUUCGGAUUGUCUGGUUUGGGACGUUAAAUCAGCUUUGGAAUGCCCUGGAUUGAUCUCUUUAUGGGGGGCUGCUGGUGCUGGGAAAAUUCCUCUCGUUAGAUGUAUUUACUACAUCCAAAUGCUGACUAUGAACCAUGGACCUGGUUACAUAAUCGGUGGUGAAAAUCGUGGAAGAAUUUUCCUGAAAUAUACAAAGUUCAGCUGGGUCAAUGUGUCAUAUCCCUUUCAUUUGAAGGAAUUCUCUUGGAGAUUACUUUUGGAUUUUCAUUCUGAUGAUCUUGACGCCAAGGAAAAGGCCGCAUUUGAAAGUGUCGCCACACAUUGUGCAUAUCACAGAGCUCAAGUGUUCAACAUUAAAGGUGCAGAAGCUGUAGAUGCACUCCGUCCAUUGAGAAAGGGUUGUGGAUACUCUGGAAAUGAACGCGAUGCAUCUUGCUUUUUUUCCAGUCGGAGGAAAGAGGCAGCUCACUGGAACAGCACAUUUGAACUUGUUGGCCGUCAAGAUAAAGCGGCUGGUGAGCUUAUGGAUCAUUUAUCGACUCAUGUUGGUUUGAUAUCUGUAUGGGGAAUUGCCGGUGUUGGGAAAUCAGUUAUUGUGAGAAGCGUCUACUAUAAAAUAUUGCUGGGUAUAGAACAAAUUGGUUUGGGUGGCGUGGGGCGUAGGGUUGAUAGUGAAAGCUUUACAUCUUUCAGCUGGGUUGACGUGCCAAAUCCAUUCAAUUUGACGGAAUUCUGUUGGCACUUACUUUUGGAUUUUCAUUCUGAUGACCUUAAAGCGAAGGAAACUGUGACAGUUGGCUUGAUUGAUGGCACUCUAGAUCCAAUUAUGCAAUGUCGCAAGUUUCUACGUAAGAAGUGCUUCGUUAUUAUUGAUGGUCUACUCUCUACACAUGUGUGGGACUUGAUAAGAGAUGCCCUGUUGCCUGCGACCAUUGAAGGCAUCAUUAUUGUCAUUGCGCAUGAAGAAAACAUCGCCACACAUUGUGUAGAACAUGCAUACCGGGUGGUUAACGCCAAGGGUCUAGAGCCUGGAGCAGCACUUUAUCUCUUUAGAAAGCCGUCGCGGACCUCGGCGCAGGUGGCAAGCAUCCCAAGCCUCCAUCUUCCCUGCCGGCGUCGCUCCACCCUGCCUUCUUCCGCCGCGGACGAGCUGCGGGACGAGGCGACGGCCAGAGCAACGGGCGGCGGCGGCCAGAGCAACGGGAGGAGGCGUCUGCCAGAGCAAUGGGAUGGAGAGGAGGUCGGAGCUGGAGCCGCGCCUUGCGGGCCUCCCAGGCAGGCGCGUCCCGGAGCAGUGGAGGCCACGGCGGCGGCCAGAUGUAGCCGGAUCCGGCGCGACGGCGGCAGCCGGGAGGGGAGGGGUGGCGGCCCGGUGAGGAGAGGGGAGGGGCAGCGGCGACGGGCGCAUCCCGGAGCAAUGGUGGCCACGGCGGCGGCGCAGGCACAUCCCGGAGCAACCACUCAUGUAGCAUCAUCUCCUCCUCUUCUCCCUCUUGCCACCUGCACCUAUCUCCCUGAUUUCCAUAUCCUCCAAGGACACCCUCACUACUACACCCAUUCCUCCAGCUGGAAAUGGGAAGGGUGUUCAAGUCCGGGGCAAGCCCCCCAAGCACCUUUUUUAGCACUGGUGCAAAAAAAGGCCCCAACCACACCCUCAAGACGUUGUUUUGCGCCGGAUUUGGGCAAAAAUAGCCCCGGCAACCUCAGGCAAAACCCAGCCCAUCGGGGUGCACUUGGGACCGCCGGCGUUAAUUUUUGCAUGGCAAAACCCCACCGGAAUCUCUCUCUCUCCGCCUCCUCCGCCCCACCUCUUCCACCCCGCCCCGCCUCCUCCACCCCUCUUCCGCCGUCCCCCGCUGGUUGGCCCUGUGCCGCUCCACAUCACCCCGAGCUUUGUGUCUCCCUCCUUGUAGCACCGCGCGGCCGCGCGCCAUGGCGCACUCCUACCUCUCCGCAGCUCGCAUGGCGGCGGCGCUGCGCCUCAUGUUCCAGGCCGACCACGCCGCGUUCGUGUUCCCCCGCUCGGCGCACGCAUCGUCGUCCCGUCCGCACGCACACCGGUUCAAUGCCGCUGGUCCCGUCUGAGCCGGUGGAGAUGGAAGCACCGACACCGGGAGCAGCGCCACCAAACUGUACUACGGGAACCUUCCUCCUCCGCCCCGCUCCUCUUCCUCGCCUUCCCGCCUCCUCCGCCCUGCCUCCUCCGCCGGCUCACGCACGCCCCCGCCCCAGCCGCCUCCCCUGCCGGCUUGCGCUCGACGCCUUGCACUCGCGCCCUCCUCUACUCCGCCAGUUCGUGCUCGCGCCCUCGCUGCCGCCGCCGCUGCGCGGGGACGGCGCGGGCACGGGGGCCACCGCCGCCGUGGCGUCCACCUUGGUUUCGGUGGCCGUCAGCGCCCCUUGUCAUGCACUGGCCAUAUAUGACACAUUGGUUCACCAGAAGCAGGCUGGAGAUUUGGAUGCCUACUCUCCCAUACAACCGUGCAUGUUGUCACUGGGGUGGAGUAGCCAGAGGUUCAAGGACGAGGCAUGGCAGGCGGCCGCAUCAGUUUUGAGGAUUGCCUCAUUAUCUCUCCGAUCUAAACCAAGCAUGAUUUUCCCACCACCUCAAGGGAUGCAUCUUUCUUGCACAAAAACUGUUUAA